RNAcentral lists this ribosomal RNA (365 nucleotides) under uncultured bacterium. RNAcentral describes it as "partial 16S ribosomal RNA". It matches the Rfam family "Bacterial small subunit ribosomal RNA", at positions 338 to 700 of the family's 1533-position model. The record is from RNAcentral.
CCUACGGGCGGCAGCAGUGAGGAAUAUUGGGCAAUGGGCGCGAGCCUGAACCAGCCAAGUAGCGUGAAGGAUGACUGCCCUACGGGUUGUAAACUUCUUUUAUAAAGGAAUAAAGUGAGGCACGUGUGCCGUUUUGUAUGUACGUUAUGAAUAAGGAUCGGCUAACUCCGUGCCAGCAGCCGCGGUAAUACGGAGGAUCCGAGCGUUCUCCGGAUUUAGUGGGGUGAAAGGGAGCGUAGAUGGGUUGGUAAGUCAGUUGUGAAAGUUUGCGGCUCAACCGGAAAAUUGCAAUUGAUACUGGCAGCCUUGAGUACCGUUGAGGUAGGCGGACUUCGUGUUGUAGCGGUGACAUGCUUCGCUCUCAC